GAUGAACGCUGGCGGCGUGCCUAAUACAUGCAAGUCGAGCGAACGGACGAGAAGCUUGCUUCUCUGAUGUUAGCGGCGGACGGGUGAGUAACACGUGGAUAACCUACCUAUAAGACUGGGAUAACUUCGGGAAACCGUAGCUAAUACCGGAUAAUAUUUUGAACCGCAUGGUUCAAAAGUGAAAGACGGUCUUGCUGUCACUUAUAGAUGGAUCCGCGCUGCAUUAGCUAGUUGGUAAGGUAACGGCUUACCAAGGCAACGAUGCAUAGCCGACCUGAGAGGGUGAUCGGCCACACUGGAACUGAGACACGGUCCAGACUCCUACGGGAGGCAGCAGUAGGGAAUCUUCCGCAAUGGGCGAAAGCCUGACGGAGCAACGCCGCGUGAGUGAUGAAGGUCUUCGGAUAGUAAAACUCUGUUAUUAGGGAAGAACAUAUGUGUAAGUAACUGUGCACAUCUUGACGGUACCUAAUCAGAAAGCCACGGCUAACUACGUG
RNAcentral lists this ribosomal RNA (497 nucleotides) under uncultured bacterium. Its description in RNAcentral is "partial 16S ribosomal RNA". It matches the Rfam family "Bacterial small subunit ribosomal RNA", at positions 28 to 507 of the family's 1533-position model. The record is from RNAcentral.